AAGUAAAAGAGAGACAAGAAAAAAGAACAUAAAUAGCGAUGGGGACGCUGGGGCAGUGGCUCGCGAUUGCUUUUUUAUGUGGACGCUGGUGCAGUGGUGGCACACAUUUUUUUUUUUUUUUGCUUCCUUUUUUGCUUCUUGUGGGGAGAAGAAGAAGGAAGUGUUCAUUAAAAUAAAUAGAAAGAUAAA
RNAcentral lists this non-coding RNA (189 nucleotides) under Heterosigma akashiwo. Lineage: Eukaryota; Raphidophyceae; Chattonellales; Chattonellaceae. The record is from RNAcentral.